ACAGGGAUUGCCCUAGUAACGGCGAGUGAAGCGGCAACAGCUCAAAUUUGAAAUCUGGCUCUUUCAGGGUCCGAGUUGUAAUUUGCAGAGGGCGCUUUGGCUUUGGCAGCGGUCCAAGUUCCUUGGAACAGGACGUCACAGAGGGUGAGAAUCCCGUACGUGGUCGCUAGCUAUUGCCGUGUAAAGCCCCUUCGACGAGUCGAGUUGUUUGGGAAUGCAGCUCUAAAUGGGAGGUAAAUUUCUUCUAAAGCUAAAUACUGGCCAGAGACCGAUAGCGCACAAGUAGAGUGAUCGAAAGAUGAAAAGCACUUUGGAAAGAGAGUCAAACAGCACGUGAAAUUGUUGAAAGGGAAGCGCUUGCAGCCAGACUUGCUUGCAGUUGCUCAUCCGGGCUUUUGCCCGGUGCACUCUUCUGCAGGCAGGCCAGCAUCAGUUUGGGCGGUGGGAUAAAGGUCUCUGUCACGUACCUCUCUUCGGGGAGGCCUUAUAGGGGAGACGACAUACCACCAGCCUGGACUGAGGUCCGCGCAUUCGCUAGGAUGCUGGCGUAAUGGCUGUAAGCGGCCCGUCUUGAAACACGGACCAAGGAGUCUAACAUCUAUGCGAGUGUUUGGGUGUCAAGCCCGAACGCGUAAUGAAAGUGAACGGAGGUGGGAACCCGCAAGGGUGCACCAUCGACCGAUCCUGAUGUCUUCGGAAGGAUUUGAGUAAGAGCAUGGCUGUUGGGACCCGAAAGAUGGUGAACUAUGCUUGAAUAGGGUGAAGCCAGAGGAAACUCUGGUGGAGGCUCGCAGCGGUUCUGACGUGCAAAUCGAUCGUCAAAUUUGGGCAUAGGGGCGAAAGACUAAUCGAAC
Molecule: ribosomal RNA, 854 nt
Filed under: Pyrenophora chaetomioides
Lineage: Eukaryota; Fungi; Ascomycota; Dothideomycetes; Pleosporales; Pleosporaceae
Description: partial large subunit ribosomal RNA
Rfam family: Eukaryotic large subunit ribosomal RNA
Source: RNAcentral